GACGAACGCUGGCGGCGUGCUUAACACAUGCAAGUCGAACGGAAAGGCCCUGCUUUUGUUGGGUGCUCGAGUGGCGAACGGGUGAGUAACACGUGAGUAACCUGCCCUUGACUUUGGGAUAACUUCAGGAAACUGGGGCUAAUACCGGAUAGGAGCUCCUGCUGCAUGGUGGGGGUUGGAAAGUUUCGGCGGUUGGGGAUGGACUCGCGGCUUAUCAGCUUGUUGGUGGGGUAGUGGCUUACCAAGGCUUUGACGGGUAGCCGGCCUGAGAGGGUGACCGGCCACAGUGGGACUGAGAUACGGCCCAGACUCCUACGGGAGACAGCAGUGGGGAAUAUUGCACAAUGGGCGGAAGCCUGAUGCAGCAACGCCGCGUGCGGGAUGACGGCCUUCGGGUUGUAAGCCGCUUUCGCCUGUGACGAAGCGUGAGUGACGGUAAUGGGUAAAGAAGCACCGGCUAACUACGUG
This 468-nucleotide ribosomal RNA is filed under the name uncultured bacterium. RNAcentral describes it as "partial 16S ribosomal RNA". It matches the Rfam family "Bacterial small subunit ribosomal RNA", at positions 28 to 507 of the family's 1533-position model. The record is from RNAcentral.